Molecule: ribosomal RNA, 1342 nt
Filed under: uncultured bacterium
Lineage: Bacteria
Description: 16S ribosomal RNA
Rfam family: Bacterial small subunit ribosomal RNA
Source: RNAcentral
GACGAACGCUGGCGGCGUGCUUAACACAUGCAAGUCGAACGGAAAGGCCCUGCUUUUGUGGGGUGCUCGAGUGGCGAACGGGUGAGCAACACGUGAGUAACCUGCCCUUGACUUUGGGAUAACUUCAGGAAACUGGGGCUAAUACCGGAUAGGAGCUCCUGCUGCAUGGUGGGGGUUGGAAAGUUUCGGCGGUUGGGGAUGGACUCGCGGCUUAUCAGCUUGUUGGUGGGGUAGUGGCUUACCAAGGCUUUGACGGGUAGCCGGCCUGAGAGGGUGACCGGCCACAUUGGGACUGAGAUACGGCCCAGACUCCUACGGGAGGCAGCAGUGGGGAAUAUUGCACAAUGGGCGGAAGCCUGAUGCAGCAACGCCGCGUGCGGGAUGACGGCCUUCGGGUUGUAAACCGCUUUCGCCUGUGACGAAGCGUGAGUGACGGUAAUGGGUAAAGAAGCACCGGCUAACUACGUGCCAGCAGCCGCGGGAUACGUAGGGUGCGAGCGUUGUCCGGAUUUAUUGGGCGUAAAGGGCUCGUAGGUGGUUGAUCGCGUCGGAAGUGUAAUCUUGGGGCUUAACCCUGAGCGUGCUUUCGAUACGGGUUGACUUGAGGAAGGUAGGGGAGAAUGGAAUUCCUGGUGGAGCGGUGGAAUGCGCAGAUAUCAGGAGGAACACCAGUGGCGAAGGCGGUUCUCUGGGCCUUUCCUGACGCUGAGGAGCGAAAGCGUGGGGAGCGAACAGGCUUAGAUACCCUGGUAGUCCACGCUGUAAACGGUGGGUACUAGGUGUGGGGUCCAUUCCACGGGUUCCGUGCCGUAGCUAACGCUUUAAGUACCCCGCCUGGGGAGUACGGCCGCAAGGCUAAAACUCAAAGGAGUUGACGGGGCCCCGCACAAGCGGCGGAGCAUGCGGAUUAAUUCGAUGCAACGCGUAGAACCUUACCUGGGUUUGACAUGGAUCGGGAGUGCUCAGAGAUGGGUGUGCCUCUUUUGGGGUCGGUUCACAGGUGGUGCAUGGCUGUCGUCAGCUCGUGUCGUGAGAUGUUGGGUUAAGUCCCGCAACGAGCGCAACCCUUGUUCACUGUUGCCAGCACGUUAUGGUGGGGACUCAGUGGAGACCGCCGGGGUCAACUCGGAGGAAGGUGGGGAUGACGUCAAGUCAUCAUGCCCCUUAUGUCCAGGGCUUCACGCAUGCUACAAUGGCUGGUACAGAGAGUGGCGAGCCUGUGAGGGUGAGCGAAUCUCGGAAAGCCGGUCUCAGUUCGGAUUGGGGUCUGCAACUCGACCUCAUGAAGUCGGAGUCGCUAGUAAUCGCAGAUCAGCAACGCUGCGGUGAAUACGUUCCCGGG